UACGUAGGGCGCAAGCGUUGUCCGGAAUUAUUGGGCGUAAAGAGCUCGUAGGCGGCCAGUUGCGUCUGCUGUGAAAUCCCGGGGCUCAACCCCGGGCGUGCAGUGGAUACGGGCUGGCUAGAGGCAGGCAGGGGAGAACGGAAUUCCCGGUGUAGCGGUGAAAUGCGCAGAUAUCGGGAGGAACACCGGUGGCGAAAGCAGCGUGCUGGACCUUUUCUGACGCUGAGGCGCGAAAGCCAGGGGAGCAAACGGG
This 253-nucleotide ribosomal RNA is filed under the name uncultured bacterium. Its description in RNAcentral is "partial 16S ribosomal RNA". It matches the Rfam family "Bacterial small subunit ribosomal RNA", at positions 524 to 776 of the family's 1533-position model. The record is from RNAcentral.